This is a long non-coding RNA of Odocoileus virginianus texanus, 1143 nucleotides long. RefSeq lists it as uncharacterized. NCBI's taxonomy places the organism in Eukaryota, Metazoa, Chordata, Mammalia, Artiodactyla, Cervidae. The record is from RefSeq and is a predicted model, not a curated record.
UUUUCUGUGAAUAGUUCACGUCCACCUGCUGUUUACCGCCCUGAGUGAGGGACUGGGUGCAGGGCAGGGAUACCAAAACGCUGUGCUUUCAGGGUGCUCACAACCUUAGGGAUAGGCAGGGGAGACUGGGCUCAGGAAGCCUCUUGAGGAAGGCCCCAGGCUCUGAGGAGACCAUGAGGAGAACAGGAGGAACCAGGAGUGUCACCAGAGACAAGCCAGAGGCACCUGGAGGAAGCUCUAGGGCGCAGGUGGAACUGGAGCCCGAGGAGUGGAAUGGGGGGAACCCUAUCCCCCCACAGGCCCCACUGUGGCAGGGAUGGCAGGGGUGGGUGUCUAGAGAAGCCUGGGAUGUAGGCUGUGCUGCGUGGGUCAACGGAGAGGGGCGCAGACGUGUAUACAGAGGGAAGCAUGUGCUCUAGUACUCUUAUUCAGCCUUAGUUAUCAUCAUUAAAUCAUCGUCAUCAUUAUUAAUCAGUAUUAAUUACUAAUCAUUAUUAAUCACCAUUAAAACCUGUAAGUUAACUCAGUAAGGAGGCCAUCAAACUGACAAGGCUCUGAUGGCUUCAUAGCACAGGAAAACAAACCAAAACCUCAGCCUGUGACUGCCUCCCAUUAGGAAAUUGCACCUAAGUACCUAAGUACCAUCACAACGGGCCAGCCAUGCUGAGCUCCACCAAUGAACAGCCUCCUUUCUCCCUCCGUCUCCUCCUCUCCCAGGCGCAUCUCUCCAGGCUCCCGCCUCCCUGGACCUCCAACGCCUCCUUCUUCACUGUGCGGCCUUGUUUCCAUCAAUUGUUGCUCAGGUAAACUUAAACUGUUCACUGCUCCUCAGCUGUCUUUUACCAAACCAAAGGCCACAAGUUCCAGAAACAAUUAAAUGGAACCUUUAUAAUCUUGGGGAUUCUCUGGCAGAGCUGAGAGAACCCAGGGAACAGAGCAGCAGAUCUUCUGAUGAUGGCCCAAGACAGCCCGUGCUCAGGACGUUUUCUAGCCCAGCUUGACCUUGGUGGCACCGUCUCUCCUGGUACUGCUGAUCACUCUCUGUGCUGAAGCUCCUUGAGCGGGCGGUCCACCCUGACCGCCCCUUCCAGGUCUCCGCUGAUACUGUGCUCAAAUGUGGUAAAAUCUGUUUAGCUACUUUUC